CUAAGCUCCACUGGGUCUUUUCCUGUCGUAACAGAGAGGUGGGGUGACAUUGUCUGGGAGGUUCACACGUUCAGGGAAAGAUCAAGCAUAAAAUUUGAAAGGGACCAAGCAGCAAUGUUAGUAUGUGGUGGGCUCAGUAAUCGACGAUGAACAAAAACGUCAGUUCGAACAUCUAAUCUGCAUGUGGACAGAAGUGCUCUGAGCCCAAGUGGUCAUCAAAGCUGUUCGCCUACUUGAGCCGAACCCCACUAGGAUGAGUACCAACGGCAAUCUUGUUGCGGGACAUGGUACAAGAAUGAUCUCUUCUUCUCAAUGUCUCAGAAAAUGAAGGAAGUGGGGUGUUCAGAGAGGCUGUUCUGUAAUAAAAGAGUUUUAAGACUCAUAAAAAUCAAAUAUGAUGCCUAACCCAUGAAUGGGUUCUCGUGAGAAGAAAAGAACCAUAAAAGCACCAUGUAAUCUGGAAUCUUGGUCCAGCCCUCAUGACCCGUCUGUUCUCUGCCAAGUCUCACAGAAUCUCAUCCUGUGCUGCAGCUCAGUUCAGUAUUCAGUCAAAGACCCAAGGAAAGGAACUCCUCUGGAUGUUUUGGAAGCUACUUUUCUAUAUUUCUCCCCGUUCUGUGGCACCAUGUCCUGCAAAUGCAACUUGCUCCAACAACCUUAGACUCUGAUCUUGGUCCGUUCUACCCAGGGACACUCCUCUUUUCUGCUUGGGCUCCUCUUCCCUGUGCUGCAGCUUGGAAAGUGCUCUCUCAGCUAUAAUAUAGAUCUCAUCUCAUGUGUGGCUUUUCUUUCAAAGAUCACAACCUUGCACUGUCUAUCCAAUACCUGAAAGCAGCUAGUUCAUAUGUAUUGUCCAGUUUUAUGGUUCAUUCCCUGAGAGGGCAAGCCCAGUCAUCCUUACUCCAUCUUGCCUAGAACUAGAAGUGACUUCAACUUGCUUAUUAAUCUCUGAACUUCAGGUUCAUCAACACCUGUGGCAUGAGGCUUUGGGCUAGACCAGUACAUCUGAUGUGUAACUCUGCCCAUAUUCAGAGCUGUUUCUCAGUCCAAGCCACUUUCUCCACCUAUAAUAUGGGUUUCCAGUAUAAAAGUUGGAUUUGAUCUCUUGAAUAAACUCUUCUGCAGUUACAGAAACUUUUGAACUAGAAGAAUCAUCAGGCAUUACACAGUCAAUAUUUUUAUGGCUAAGGUGCACAUUAUUUUAAAAUUUAUAAAGCACUUUCACAUACAUAUUUCACUAGUUUAUAGAUGUUUUCUGUUUUGUGAAUACAAGCCAAGCUGAUACUAUCCGUCUUUUAUAAGGUUCUGAAAAGGUAUGUGGCUGAAGAAAGGUUCCUUAGCAGAUCAGAGGCACAGCCUGGAUUUAAAUCAGUCUAAGCUCAGGGCCUUCCCACAAAACGACACCUCUGAGUUUAUGUGAAAAGUGAGGAAGUUAUCACAGGUCUUCAAGGUCCUACCACAUUUUUCACUUCUUUGGCCAUUGCAGCAGCGCUGGCGAAAGUUCUCAUGAGCAGCUUCUGUGAAGGUGUGUGGUGGGGGAAAAAACAGUGUUUGAUUAUAUCAGUCAGGAUUGGCUUGGGUACACUGGGUAACAAACAAUCCCUCAAAUCUCAGUGGCCUAAACUAGCAAAGAGUCACUUAGUUUUCAGGCUGUUUGUCCGUGAUGGUUAGGCAGGGGCACCGAGGGUCCCAGGCAAGUGGAGUAGCCGUCAUCUCAAAUGUCGCCGAUGCCGUGUUAGAGCGACAAAAAGAAUUCUGGAGGACCUCAAGCUGUCAGUUAGUGUUCUUGUGUGUGUGUCCCUUCUACCUGUGACC
Molecule: long non-coding RNA, 1815 nt
Filed under: Canis lupus familiaris (dog)
Lineage: Eukaryota; Metazoa; Chordata; Mammalia; Carnivora; Canidae
Description: lncRNA (ENSCAFG00040018929.1)
Source: RNAcentral